UGCGUAGGCGGCUGGGUAAGUCGCGUGUGAAAGCCCGGGGCUCAACCCCGGAGCUGCAUGCGAGACUGCCCGGCUCGAGCACGGUAGAGGCGGGCGGAAUUCCUGGUGUAGCGGUGGAAUGCGUAGAGAUCAGGAAGAACACCGGUGGCGAAGGCGGCUCGCUGGGCCGUUGCUGACGCUGAGGCACGAAAGCGUGGGGAGCAAACAGGAUUAGAUACCCUGGUAGUCCACGCCCUAAACGAUGGACACUAGGCGUCGGGGGGAGCGACCCUCCCGGUGCCGUCGCUAACGCAAUAAGUGUCCCGCCUGGGGAGUACGGCCGCAAGGCUGAA
This 332-nucleotide ribosomal RNA is filed under the name uncultured bacterium. RNAcentral describes it as "bacterial SSU rRNA". It matches the Rfam family "Bacterial small subunit ribosomal RNA", at positions 568 to 898 of the family's 1533-position model. The record is from RNAcentral.